CGGUCAAGUUGGCGAACCCGCGUAAAGCGUUGUUCAAUCCGUACAUCUAGUGUGCGUGUCCAUCUGUACGCAUGUGUACGUGUUUGUGUAUCCUGUCGUCACGCCAGGUAUUACUCCGCGACGCCAUUUGACCACGCAGAGCGACCACACCGAAAGCGGCCAGACGGAAUCGGAACAGUCGGGAGGACGAGACAACACGAGGUCCAGAUAGUCGGGGUGCUGGCCCUUCUUACGUCGUGUCGGUUUUGCUUUGCGCUCUGCUCUCUCGCUCUCUCCCGCUCGCCACGCUCGUCUCUCUAGACCCUUCCGCUGGUGGGGGAUGAGUCUGGCUUUGGCUUCUGCUGCCUGUGUGGGCCUCCGGUUGUGAAAAUCGUGUCGUGCACGUGCUGGGCCGCCGUUGCUGCGCUGGAAAACUAUCCGAAACGUUGGGCAGUGCGUUCGGGCACGCAAGGCAACCGAAACCAGCUGGUGGUAUGUGAGUUAGAUGGUAUUAUUUUGGUGUAGAAAAAUGCACUCCACAAAUAUGUUUUUCACUCCGUAAUGGCCGACCUCACAACCAAGGUCAGUAUAGCAUGCGGGUUGGAUCGUCCCAAUGCCGCCUGACAGCUGCACAGUGGGAGAGUGCGCGCUACGGUAUCUGACAGGUUGGAUCGUUGGCAAUGAGAGGCAAUUUCGUAU
Anopheles merus is the source of this 678-nucleotide long non-coding RNA. RefSeq lists it as uncharacterized. NCBI's taxonomy places the organism in Eukaryota, Metazoa, Arthropoda, Insecta, Diptera, Culicidae. The transcript is spliced from 2 exons. The record is from RefSeq and is a predicted model, not a curated record.